CCUACGGGAGGCAGCAGUGGGGAAUUUUGGACAAUGGGCGAAAGCCUGAUCCAGCAAUGCCGCGUGCAGGAUGAAGGCCUUCGGGUUGUAAACUGCUUUUGUACGGAACGAAACGGUUCUUUCUAAUAAAGAGAGCUAAUGACGGUACCGUAAGAAUAAGCACCGGCUAACUACGUGCCAGCAGCCGCGGUAAUACGUAGGGUGCAAGCGUUAAUCGGAAUUACUGGGCGUAAAGCGUGCGCAGGCGGUUAUGUAAGACAGUUGUGAAAUCCCCGGGCUCAACCUGGGAAUUGCAUCUGUGACUGCAUAGCUAGAGUACGGUAGAGGGGGAUGGAAUUCCGCGUGUAGCAGUGAAAUGCGUAGAUAUGCGGAGGAACACCGAUGGCGAAGGCAAUCCCCUGGACCUGUACUGACGCUCAUGCACGAAAGCGUGGGGAGCAAACAGGAUUAGAUACCCUGGUAGUCCACGCCCUAAACGAUGUCAACUGGUUGUUGGGUCUUCACUGACUCAGUAACGAAGCUAACGCGUGAAGUUGACCGCCUGGGGAGUCGGCCGCAAGGUUGAAACUCAAAGAGUAGUAGCGNGAGAGACGACGACGACGACGACGAGGAGGGAGG
This 618-nucleotide ribosomal RNA is filed under the name uncultured bacterium. RNAcentral's name for it is "bacterial SSU rRNA". It matches the Rfam family "Bacterial small subunit ribosomal RNA", at positions 338 to 1363 of the family's 1533-position model. The record is from RNAcentral.